UACGUAGGGCGCAAGCGUUGUCCGGAAUUAUUGGGCGUAAAGAGCUCGUAGGCGGUUUUGUCGCGUCUGCUGUGAAAUCCCCGAGGCUCAACCUCGGGUCUGCAGUCGAUACGGGCAAAACUAGAGUAUUGCAGGGGGAGACUGGAAUUUCCUGGUGUAGCGGUGAAAAUGCGUAGAGAUGGGGAGGAACACCAGUGGCGAAAGG
This 205-nucleotide ribosomal RNA is filed under the name uncultured bacterium. RNAcentral describes it as "partial 16S ribosomal RNA". It matches the Rfam family "Bacterial small subunit ribosomal RNA", at positions 524 to 721 of the family's 1533-position model. The record is from RNAcentral.